UUGCUCAUUUCAUCCUCAGACACACUUGUCACUGCCACACGGUGAGACAGCAAGUGCUUGCUUCUGUAGCAUUGGCAGUAGCACCGAGCAACUCCUCUCACAGCUCUUUGCUGCAGUCUGACACCGGGAAGUUGUCGGCAGGCCAGACAGUGCUGCAGGACAAGCAGGCACUUCUCAACAAAAUUUCUGGCUGUGUCAACAGAUGAUGAAAUUUAAAGACUAGGCAUCGCCACUGUUCAUUUGAAUGAUUGUGGUGCUUCAGCGCAUGCUGGUGUUUGGUGACAUAUGUAAUUUAUAGGAAUUUGUUUGUGUGUCUUGGGAGGGGGAAACGUAUCGUUGCAGAGAUCUGACGCCUCCUCUGUGUUGGUGGCCUUAUUUCAAAUCUUUUUGCAUGCCAAAUGGAAUAAGGUGCUUUCAGAAUCUGUAAAUGACCUGGCAGGAACCGAAUGAUUGUCCUUAAAGCCAUUUGUACUUUCUGUUUUGUGACCUUGAGAUCAGCGAUUGGGAAAGUUGUUCACAUGCCAUCUGCACCUGCUAGUUUUGCAAUGCAGCAAGAGGUCAUUUCCUUUCCAAACAUGACUGGCUUCUGAUACCAGUUGGAAAUUGGCAGCUCUUAUAUGAAAGCAGUAGAUUCCAGUUUCUUCUUUUGGCUUUUCACUGAGAUAGGAAAGGAGUUGUUAUUGUUACGGCCCCAGUGCUGUGUCAGAGCUCUCUUCCCCACAUAACGGCUUUUUCAGUCACUCAAAAACAGUUUGUCAAUAGUAUAUGGCAUCAUAUCUUGCAUUGUAUAAUAUUAUAUUGCCCUGAGAUAUUUUUUUCCCAGUAUCACAGCCUUAAUUCCAAACAGAGCUGCACAACCUACAGCAAAAAUACUUGCCUUUUAUUUUGUCUCAUGGCCUUUCUUUCUCAUUUCUGUGAGAGAAGAGGAGACUGCAGAAUAGAGUUGCUAUCUAGACCUCCAUGUGGUAGGGCUUAAGAAACAACAUAGCAGGAUCAAAGUGCGCUUUUCUCCUUAUUCCUUGGCUAUAUCAAAAAGAUGAGAUAAAGGGGUGUUUGUUGUUCUUCUAAUUCUCUUCUCCAGAGAGGAUGGAAGCUGUUGCAACUUCUUUAUAAGAUGUCCUUAAUAUCGUCAUUGAUGCAGACUGAUACGGAACUGGCUCUUGACUUGUAGAAAGUCAUUUAUCUCAAACCUGAACUGCACAAGCUAAGGUCUGUUCAGGACGAGAUCUUCCUGCCACAAGAUGGGAGAAACCGAAGCUGCUUCAUCAGUGAAAAGGUCUCAGGAAAAGGUCUGCACUGAUGAAUUAGUGCAACAACACUACCAGCCAUAAAAGAAUACAUCUUAAGAGAAAAUCCAACGGUGACUUCUAGGCUGGAUUGGUCAUCCCUCACCCACAGUGCAGAUGCAUUCAAUUACUGCCCUGAGCUUGCAGUGUUCAACUGCUUCCACUAGGCUUGUGCAACAAAAGGUCUAACUACCAACCCCCCUGCUUCCUCCGUGGCACCUCAUGCAAUACAGAAUGUGGUCUUGUCAGUUUUGCAGCAGGUUGGGAAAUCAAGAUCUGAACUGUGUCAACACUGCCAAAAAGUAAAGAAAGAUAUCAGAGUUUUUCAGCUUAAUCUGCUUCUCAAAAUAAUCUUCUACUUCGAAUUUGAGUUACAGUUACCUCGAGAACUCCCAUGUGCUCACCACAGCACUGAAGCAAAACUGGGCCUGGAUUCUGAAGAGAAGAGCCAGAACAAGGUGCUAGAUCUCCUUCCAUAAGUUUCCCAACAGAGAUUUACCUGGCCAGAGUUAGAUGGCUGCUCUUCAAGGAGAAUGCCCUUCCCAUCCCACCAAAUGCUCUUGACACUUGACCCUGCUUGUACCUAUUGCUGCUGCCUGUGACUGGAACCAAGGUGAAACCUCAGGCUCUGGUCUCCUCGCUGCAGGAUGAAAAAGCACAGGCUGUAUGAAGCAGAAAUAAGAGGUAGAGAUGGACAUCAGGUGAUUCCUGGUGAUUUUCAGACCUGUAAAUUCUAUUACACCAUCUAGUUACCCGCUUCCUGCAAUGUGUGCCAGUGGGCCAGCACUUUUAAAUGGUUCCAGAAUACCAUUUCCCUCCCCACUUCUGUUUUUCUGACAUCAGACUGUACCUGAGUGUUGGUUCAUUGGUUCUGUCCCUCACAGUGGCACCCAAAGGUCCAUCAGCAACUUACUUCUUCCUUGCCCUUUGCUUCCUAAAUCAAGAAUUAAUAAAGAAGAGAAGAAGGUGCCAACACCAUUUUAGAUGUGCUGCCAGCACAUCCGAAACGGGCUGCUUGUAUUGUCAGAAAAAAAAACACCUCAAUAGCUGAAAAGCACUGCAGAGAGAUUAAAUACAUGGGAGGAUUGUGAGCAAUACAGGAGAGACAUGCUGCUAUUGAUAAGUCAAAAACACUGUUUGUUUGUUCCCCAGCACUCUCAGUAUUAAAAGAGUCAUUUGCAACGUCUCAGCUUGCUGUUGUGUAUUCCUGGUACCUGACCUUCUCAGUCUGGCUGUUGUGCAUCUGUUAGCCUGUGACCUUCCCACUGCAUGGAUCAGAUAUUGAGAAAGCAGGGGAGAAGGAAGAGCAGAGGAAGGCAGUGAGAGACAAGCAAGGCAUCUCGGACCAUCCAGUGGUUCACGGUGUUCAGGACAAACCAUGAACAUCCACUUAAGCAAGGAGGAGGAACAGGACACGUGAUACACUGACAGUAAAAUUAUCGCUCUGAUCCCAGCGAGGAACCAGGCAGGGGUCCUGAGCCUGUUCAUCUGGUUAAACAGGCACACGUGCAGAAGCUGUGACAGCAACAGAUGACCUCAGCCUACAACAUGGACAGUGGAAGGUCAUCCCUGCACCUCCCUGCAGAGCUGACAGAGACCCACCUUUUGUGCUGCCCCCCAGAGCUGACACCCAGCCUGGAAGUGGCAGGUUACCAUACCUCCAUGCCGCUGCUUCAGUCACACAGAUAAAAUAUGCUCUUCUCAGACACAGAAGCUAUUACUUCUCUGCGAUGAAACUGCAUCCCACACUCUGAUUAACCCGUGCCCUACUUCAGAAGCAAAUUUAAUUUGCAGCUUUCAUAGUUAGCUAGCGCUGGUGUUGGUUUGUUCCUGUGCCUGCUCUGAGUUCACUGGAUCUGUACAGUGCCAAGUAUGGCAGAGACCUAUUUACCAUGGCCUAUAAGCAUUAUUCCUCAGGAAAAGAAAAAAAAAAAAAAAAA
This is a long non-coding RNA of Oxyura jamaicensis (ruddy duck), 3226 nucleotides long. RefSeq lists it as uncharacterized. NCBI's taxonomy places the organism in Eukaryota, Metazoa, Chordata, Aves, Anseriformes, Anatidae. The record is from RefSeq and is a predicted model, not a curated record. The transcript has 5 exons.